AUUGAACGCUGGCGGCAGGCCUAACACAUGCAAGUCGAGCGGAUGAAGGGAGCUUGCUCCUGGAUUCAGCGGCGGACGGGUGAGUAAUGCCUAGGAAUCUGCCUGGUAGUGGGGGAUAACGUCCGGAAACGGGCGCUAAUACCGCAUACGUCCUGAGGGAGAAAGUGGGGGAUCUUCGGACCUCACGCUAUCAGAUGAGCCUAGGUCGGAUUAGCUAGUUGGUGGGGUAAAGGCCUACCAAGGCGACGAUCCGUAACUGGUCUGAGACGAUGAUCAGUCACACUGGAACUGAGACACGGUCCAGACUCCUACGGGAGGCAGCAGUGGGGAAUAUUGGACAAUGGGCGAAAGCCUGAUCCAGCCAUGCCGCGUGUGUGAAGAAGGUCUUCGGAUUGUAAAGCACUUUAAGUUGGGAGGAAGGGCAGUAAGUUAAUACCUUGCUGUUUUGACGUUACCAACAGAAUAAGCACCGGCUAACUUCGUG
Molecule: ribosomal RNA, 484 nt
Filed under: uncultured bacterium
Lineage: Bacteria
Description: partial 16S ribosomal RNA
Rfam family: Bacterial small subunit ribosomal RNA
Source: RNAcentral